UUUAAGUGCAACCAUGAGUUUCCAUGUCCAACUUUGAUCGUCCGUUUUAUUUGAAUUUUUUUUAUAAUUAGUAUUUUUGUUGUUAUGAGAUGAAAAAAUAUGAACAAUACUUUAUUCAUGACUUAUGUUUUUAAAUUUUUUUAAAUAAGACGGACGAUUAAAAUUGGGCACGGAAAAUUAUGGCUACACUUAAA
This is a non-coding RNA of Oryza barthii, 194 nucleotides long. The record is from Rfam. NCBI's taxonomy places the organism in Eukaryota, Viridiplantae, Streptophyta, Magnoliopsida, Poales, Poaceae.